Molecule: non-coding RNA, 30 nt
Filed under: Rattus norvegicus (Norway rat)
Lineage: Eukaryota; Metazoa; Chordata; Mammalia; Rodentia; Muridae
Source: RNAcentral
UGUAAUAGAGCUCCCUCAUUCUGUAUGCCA